GAUGAACGCUGGCGGCGUGCCUAAUACAUGCAAGUCGAGCGAACAGAUGAGGAGCUUGCUCCUUUGACGUUAGCGGCGGACGGGUGAGUUACACGUGGAUAACCUACCUAUAAGACUGGGAUAACUUCGGGAAACCGGAGCUAAUACCGGAUAACAUAUUGAACCGCAUGGUUCAAUAGUGAAAGGCGGCUUUGCUGUCACUUAUAGAUGGAUCCGCGCCGUAUUAGCUAGUUGGUAAGGUAACGGCUUACCAAGGCAACGAUACGUAGCCGACCUGAGAGGGUGAUCGGCCACACUGGAACUGAGACACGGUCCAGACUCCUACGGGAGGCAGCAGUAGGGAAUCUUCCGCAAUGGGCGAAAGCCUGACGGAGCAACGCCGCGUGAGUGAUGAAGGUCUUCGGAUCGUAAAACUCUGUUAUCAGGGAAGAACAAAUGUGUAAGUAACUGUGCACAUCUUGACGGUACCUGAUCAGAAAGCCACGGCUAACUACGUG
This 497-nucleotide ribosomal RNA is filed under the name uncultured bacterium. RNAcentral's name for it is "partial 16S ribosomal RNA". It matches the Rfam family "Bacterial small subunit ribosomal RNA", at positions 28 to 507 of the family's 1533-position model. The record is from RNAcentral.